AUUCAUUAUUUUAAUUCACAGUGUAUGGAAACGAUUCCAUAAGCAUCACCGUGGUGAUUUCAAAUAAAAACUUACAUUCAGUACAACGUUCCCGGUAUGUAUGAAGUUUGCACAUUUUGUACAUUCUAUAACACGAAUAUUUUACAACUUAUUUUUUUCCACUAAAGUGCUUAAGAUAGGAACAAGGGAAUAAUUUAUGUGGAUACUACAUCUGUGAGCACAUGUACCAUUUCGUGAGGGACAAGGUGAUAUCGCACAAUAUAACUGUAUAUAAAAUAAACCUAUUAAUAAUUAAUCAUUUUCUAGCUCCUUAUAUUUAAUUGUUGGUGUAACAUUCACAUCUUUCCAAAUUACAUAUGAUGCAUAUUAGAUAAAAACUCUUGGAGAAGGAGAGGCUUUUGGCAAUCCAAAAGCUCUUAUAGGAUUUCUGGUGGACAAGGUGAUAAAUCCCAAUGGAGAAUUUUAUUACAAUGGACAUUUAAUAGCUAACCCAUGCAACACCAC
This 504-nucleotide long non-coding RNA is filed under the name Setaria italica (foxtail millet). RNAcentral describes it as "long non-coding RNA (SITA_LNC003191)". The record is from RNAcentral. Lineage: Eukaryota; Viridiplantae; Streptophyta; Magnoliopsida; Poales; Poaceae.